Long non-coding RNA from Hevea brasiliensis (rubber tree), 728 nucleotides. RefSeq lists it as uncharacterized. NCBI's taxonomy places the organism in Eukaryota, Viridiplantae, Streptophyta, Magnoliopsida, Malpighiales, Euphorbiaceae. The transcript is spliced from 2 exons. The record is from RefSeq and is a predicted model, not a curated record.
CUCUCUCUCUCUCUCUCUCUCAUCUCACAAAUUUUCUCUCAACUUUCUCAAUUUCCACACCCAAACUGUCAUCUCAAAUAAGAACUUACAAAACCCACCCUAAUAACUAUUCUAGUUGGCAAAAAGGAAGAACAAGGUGCCACCAUUGCUGACCAACAAGGGAGGAGGAAGAAGGGAGGACCACCGUCAAUGAAGGGAAGGAGGAAGACAGCAACGCGCCAAAGGGAAGAAGAAAAAUGAAAGGAAAAUAAAAGAAAGGAGGAAAGGAAAAGGAAAAGUGAAAGAAAAAGAAGGAAAAGGAAGGGAAAAAGAAAGGAAAAAAAGAAAAGGAAGGGGAAAGAGUUAGGUGCUAGCCAUUGUCCAAAUGCACUUCUAUAAUAGCCAUGAAAAGAGGUAAGAGAGUUAUAAUCUACCUCAAAACAAGCGGGCAGUCAUGGUACAUUGCCCCCAGUACACAUGGAUAGCUGCCUUUCAGAAUAAUUGAGUAGCAGCAGCCUUCAUAGGAUGCAAAGAAAGCAGAAAAACUCACCAUAUUAAUCAUGCCAUAGCAGCUUAAGUUCAAAAUUUACCUGCAACUUCUAUAGGUGAGCCCUUUGCUGUCAAUGAUGCAUUGCUACAAAGAAUACCUUGUAUAUGAUGGAAGUGACUAUUACUUUGACUAGAUUAUGCUAGACCAUGGCUCUUGACAUUUCUCUGAAAAAAAUACAGCAGCUUCUCAAAUUUAUGUG